Tachysurus vachellii is the source of this 310-nucleotide long non-coding RNA. RefSeq lists it as uncharacterized. The transcript has 2 exons. The record is from RefSeq and is a predicted model, not a curated record. Lineage: Eukaryota; Metazoa; Chordata; Actinopteri; Siluriformes; Bagridae.
CCUCGUGGGCCGCUCACUUUCUUGGGUUUAGUCUAGACGCCUCGUGCAAUGCCGGUGCUUUUUGUUUAGGGAAUAAUCUGAUGAUGGAGCCUCAAGUCUUUCAAGCAGUACAAGUGUUAUUGUGUGGCAGAGAUUAAGGACUUAAAACACUUUUUUAGGGUUGUGUAGGUAUAACUUGACUUGUUACAGUGUCUGAUCUGCAUUGCACUGGAAAUGUGACUUGUGCCUCAUGUAUUUUUUUAUUUAUUUUGUGUUUAUUUCUUCUUAAAAGUUUAUAUUUUUCAAGAGAAAUAAAAAUUGGAAGAUUCCA